CCCUACGGGGGGCAGCAGUAGGGAAUCUUCCACAAUGGGCGAAAGCCUGAUGGAGCAACGCCGCGUGGGUGAAGAAGGUCUUCGGAUCGUAAAACCCUGUUGUUAGAGAAGAAAGUGCGUGAGAGUAACUGUUCACGUUUCGACGGUAUCUAACCAGAAAGCCACGGCUAACUACGUGCCAGCAGCCGCGGUAAUACGUAGGUGGCAAGCGUUAUCCGGAUUUAUUGGGCGUAAAGGGAACGCAGGCGGUCUUUUAGGUCUGAUGUGAAAGCCUUCGGCUUAACCGGAGUAGUGCAUUGAAACUG
This 305-nucleotide ribosomal RNA is filed under the name uncultured bacterium. RNAcentral describes it as "bacterial SSU rRNA". It matches the Rfam family "Bacterial small subunit ribosomal RNA", at positions 337 to 635 of the family's 1533-position model. The record is from RNAcentral.